Molecule: non-coding RNA, 1888 nt
Organism: Penaeus vannamei (Pacific white shrimp)
Lineage: Eukaryota; Metazoa; Arthropoda; Malacostraca; Decapoda; Penaeidae
Source: RefSeq, a predicted model, not a curated record
GAUGAGUUUCCAUACCAGCGGGAUACCUUUAGCCCCACUCACGGAGGAGGAAAUAUUUUACAGAAGAUUCAGUGUGAAAGAAGAGGUCAAGGAGGAGGAUGCCAUGAAUGCCGUUGUAGAAGUUAAAGAGGAACCACUCGAUUGUGAAGUUAGGGAUGAAGUGAGCGAUGUGGAAGUGAAGCCAAAUCUCUAUGGCCCAAGACAUGAAGCAAAUGAAAUGGAAUUGUGUUACUUGGUUCAGGAUUAUACUGAUAGGUUAAGAAUGCCAGUUGUGGCUGAGGUCGUUGAGAACAAUUGUUCAUCAAACAGAGAUCAGGCAAUGGACAAGGAAAGUCUUAAGGAGGAUAAUCAACUAAAAGUGGAAGCUGCUUUGAAAUAUUAUGUAUGUGAGGUGUGUGGCAAGAUAUUUUCUGAUAAGAGUCUUAUCAACAUUCAUAGGAGAGACCACACAAAGGUGAUGCCAUACUGCUGUAAAACUUGCAACAAGGCUUUCUCACAGAAAAGUGAUUUAGUGAUACAUAUGAGAGUACAUACAAAGGAAAUGCCAUACUUUUGUGAAAUUUGCAACAAGCCAUUCUCACACAAAUGUUAUCUAGAGAUACACAUGAGAAUACAUACAAAGGAGAAGCCAUACACCUGUGACAUAUGCAGCAAGUCAUUUGCAAGAAAAGGUAAUCUAGUGAGCCAUAUGAAAGUACAUACAAAGGAAAAGCCAUACAUCUGUGAGAUUUGCAACAAGGCAUUCUCACACAAAAAUAUUCUUGUGUUCCAUAUCCGAGUACAUACAAAGGAAAAGCCAUACAGCUGUGAGAUUUGCAAAAAGGCUUUCUCACGAAAAGGUAAUCUUAAGAUGCACAUGAGAGUACAUACAAAGGAAAAGCCAUACACAUGUGAGAUUUGCAACAAGACAUUCUCACACAAAAAUAUUCUAGUGUACCAUAUCAGAGUACAUACAAAUGAAAAGCCAUACAAUUGUGAUAUUUGCAAAAAGGCUUUCUCACGAAAAAGUAGUCUAAACAUACACAUGAAAGUACAUACAAAGGAGAAGCCAUACACAUGUGAGAUUUGCAACAAGCCAUUCUCAAGAAGAGAUAAACUAGUGAGCCAUAUGAAUGUACAUACGAAGGAGGAGAAAUACAUCUGUGAGAUUUGCAACAAGCCAUUCUCACAUAAGAAAAGCCUAGUGAACCAUAUAAGAGUGCAUACAAAGGGAAAGCCACAUAGCUGUGAGAUUUGCAAAAAGACCUUCUCAAAAAAAAGAAAUCUAGUGAUACACAUGAGAGUACAUACAAAAGAGAAGCCAUACAGCUGUGAGAUUUGCAAAAAGACCUUCUCACAAAAAAGUACUCAUGUAAUGCACAUGAGAGUACAUACAAAUGAGAAGCCAUACAGCUGUGAGAUUUGCAAGAAGCCCUUCUUAUGGAAAAAGAAUCUAACCGAGAGCUGGUGAUGACUAUGCCCUCCCCUGCCCCAUGACCCUACCACCCUGUCCUAUGACCUUGACCCAUGCCUGCUCUGCUCUGGAGAAUUUUUCCUUACUCCCUUCCCUCGCCUCACUCUGUAUCAGGGUGAGUGGGUCAUGCUUCGCUCCACGCCAUUGCCACGCCUCCGGUCAGGGUUUUAAAAGCUGACCCGGCCUCCAGGCUAGUACAAUGGUAACGUGUCGGCCUCUCAUCCGAGGGGUCGGCGGUUCGCGCCCUCGGCGACUCUGCCCUCAGCAGGGUGGGUCUCGCUCACCCUCGUUCGCUUACUACUCUCUCUCCGAGAGCGACCUCACGGCCGCCGCCAGCCGUACCGCCUCGCCUGCUAUAGGCCGGGCACCAGCACCUAGAGUCGUAUCGUGUUUUUAUCAUACGUGUUCCUUCCAUUCGUGUGUUAUUAAUAAAGU